UACGUAGGGGGCUAGCGUUGUCCGGAUUUAUUGGGCGUAAAGAGCGUGUAGGCGGCCAUGUAGGUCCGGUGUGAAAACUCGAGGCUUAACCUCGAGAUGUCAUCGGAAACCAUUUGGCUGGAGUCCGGAAGAGGAGAGUGGAAUUCCUGGUGUAGCGGUGAAAUGCGCAGAUAUCAGGAAGAACACCAAUGGCGAAAGCAGCUCUCUGGGACGGUACUGACGCUGAGACGCGAAAGCGUGGGGAGCAAACAGG
RNAcentral lists this ribosomal RNA (253 nucleotides) under uncultured bacterium. Its description in RNAcentral is "partial 16S ribosomal RNA". It matches the Rfam family "Bacterial small subunit ribosomal RNA", at positions 524 to 776 of the family's 1533-position model. The record is from RNAcentral.